Molecule: ribosomal RNA, 439 nt
Filed under: uncultured bacterium
Lineage: Bacteria
Description: partial 16S ribosomal RNA
Rfam family: Bacterial small subunit ribosomal RNA
Source: RNAcentral
CUACGGGUGGCAGCAGUGAGGAAUAUUGCACAAUGGAGGAAACUCUGAUGCAGCAACGCCGCGUGGAGGAUGACGCAUUUCGGUGUGUAAACUCCUUUUAUAUGUCAAGAAAAUGACGGUAGCAUAUGAAUAAGCACCGGCUAACUCUGUGCCAGCAGCCGCGGUAAUACGGAGGGUGCAAGCGUUACUCGGAAUCACUGGGCGUAAAGGAAGCGUAGGCGGGAUAUCAAGUCAGGUGUGAAAUCCUACAGCUUAACUGUAGAACUGCACUUGAAACUGGUAACCUAGAGUAUGGGAGGGGGAGAUGGAAUUAGUGGUGUAGGGGUAAAAUCCGUAGAUAUCACUAGGAAUACCUAAAGCGAAGGCGAUCUCCUGGAACAUAACUGACGCUAAGGCGUGAAAGCGUGGGGAGCAAACAGGAUUAGAUACCCUAGUAGUC